Podarcis lilfordi (Lilford's wall lizard) is the source of this 203-nucleotide non-coding RNA. Lineage: Eukaryota; Metazoa; Chordata; Lepidosauria; Squamata; Lacertidae. The record is from the annotation of a GenBank genome assembly.
UGGAGUCACAAUGUUAUUCUCUAAAAUUUACAGUGCCUGGAACCUUUAGAUAUCAAACUGCAGUUUGUUUUCUACAAACAUAAAUCACCAUAUGUCUAUGGUUUAUGAUAUAUAUCACCAUAUAUAUCACCACUGCAGCUUGAUAUCUAAAAGCUAAGUGUUCCAGACACUGUAAAUUUUAGAGAAUAGCAUUGUGACUCCUG